GACGAACGCUGGCGGCGUGCUUAACACAUGCAAGUCGAACGGAAAGGCCCUGCUUUUGUUGGGUGCUCGUGUGGCGAACGGGUGAGUAACACGUGAGUAACCUGCCCUUGUCUUUGGGAUAACUUCAGGAAACUGGGGCUAAUACCGGAUAUAAGCUCUUGCUGCAUGGUGGGGGUUGGAAAGUUUCGGCGGUUGGGGAUGUACUCGCGGCUUAUCCGCUUGUUUGUGGGGUAGUGGCUUACCAAGGCUUUGACGGGUAGCCGGCCUGAGAGGGUGAACGGGCACAUUGGGACUGAGAGACGGACCAGACUGCUACGGGAGGCAGCAGUGGGGAAUAUGACAGAAUGGGCGGAAGCCUGAGGCAGCAACGUCGCGUGCGGGAUGACGGCCUUCGGGGUGUAAACCGCUUUCGCCUGUGACGAAGCGGGAGUGACGGUAAUGGGUAAAGAAGCACCGGCUAACUACGUG
This 468-nucleotide ribosomal RNA is filed under the name uncultured bacterium. Its description in RNAcentral is "partial 16S ribosomal RNA". It matches the Rfam family "Bacterial small subunit ribosomal RNA", at positions 28 to 507 of the family's 1533-position model. The record is from RNAcentral.